RNAcentral lists this long non-coding RNA (213 nucleotides) under Elaeis guineensis (African oil palm). RNAcentral describes it as "long non-coding RNA (EGUI_LNC041850)". The record is from RNAcentral. Lineage: Eukaryota; Viridiplantae; Streptophyta; Magnoliopsida; Arecales; Arecaceae.
UGUAGGGGUCUAGAGAAAGUUAGAGGACUGAAAGAAGGUGAAGUUAUCCUUCAAGUCGGCAAUGGGGUAAGAGUUACUGUUGUAGCCAUCGGGACUUACUCUUUGUGAUUACCAUUAGAAUUUAGUUUAAUUUUAAAGAAUUGUUAUUAUGUACUUGUAGCUAGUAGAAAUUUAAUUUUUAUAUCAGUGCUUGCACAAGAUAAUUAUAAUUUC